UCUCGGUUCUUCCUCCCCAACCCUCUCUGAUCCUUCUUUCUCUCAGUGCUCGAUGUCGAAGGCGACCUCUUUUCUUCCUCAGUCCUCACCACCAAUUUCCGACUUCAUAACGUCGUCUCUGAUAAUUGACACCGCCAAGAUCGAACCCCAAAAUAAUUGCCUUCUUUUUCUCGCACAAAAACAACAUACGACAGGUUCAAUUAGACUACAGGUUGUUCUUCUUUUAUCUUUAAUUCGAAAUUUGGUUUUCAAAUUUGUGCCCUAUUUAUAUCAAACAUGUAGUUACCCGUUCAAACUAAUCGAAACAUUCUACCAUUUACAUCCAAUUUCUGCCCUGAUGAUCAACCAUGUAGUUACACAUUCAAAUUAAUCAACAAAUUCUACCAAGCAUUCUAUCAGACCUCCACAAAAAAAAAAAAACAUUUCCUGAUUUGAAUUGGGGACCCAAAUUCCCGAAUUCCAGUCUUCACCAAAUCUGCAAGAUUAAGCAUUCUUUCUCCUUUAAGCAUUUGUUCUCCCCAAAUUAAAGUUCUCCAACUAAGAGUCAUUUAGGUUGCAGUUCAACGAAAUGAAGCAAGGGUAAGACGCCUUGGAAAGGUGGACACUAUUGUGCUUGGACGGAUAGAGUUUCAUGCGCACAAUUUAAGAUAUGACAGGUUCAUUUUUGUUCUCUUAUGAACUAUGUUAUGUCCAAUUGAUUUUCCUUAGUUUCAGUUACUAAUUUCGCAAAUGAACUUUGAUUUUUAAUUUCCUUAUGUGCAAAUGCUAUAGAAGUGUGAGCUUGAAGUAGAAUAUCAGGGCAUAGAGACAUCAGUGAGUGGUAGCUAGAGCUAGAUUAAAUUCCAAGGCUUAAGCUUAGAGGUUUUUAUGGUUUUGGUAAUUUUAGUUCAGUUUUGGGUUUCAUUUGAAGCAAGAGUGGAUGAUAAUGGAGGGUCGGCUCCGUCGUAGUCCUACAUUGAAAUCCAUCAUUGUCAAACCCCUGACAAUGAUAGUUAGGUAUAUCCCAUCUAGGUUAACAACCCAUUUGAUGCGUAGUUUAAUUAUGAUCCUUUUGUUCCGUUUUAGCAUCCUUAUUUCCGAAAUUCAAUGUGGGUUUAUGCAGACUAUGACAUGGAUUUUGAAUGAGUUGUGGAAAUUUCAUGGUUGCUCUUCGGUUAUUGUUACAGGAAGGCCAUGUAAUUACUCAUACAAGACUGUUAUCUAUUUUUUUGCUCAUAAAUCUUAACCUAUUUUUGUGUUUGAAGCUGUGGGAGCUCGGUGGAUCACUAGGUAGUUAGAUAAGCUGCAAUAGUAAUCAGUUCAAUGACUGAGUUUUUUCUCUCAAGAAGAAAUUUCAUUUUACUUCAAGUAUUGAUCUUCUGUAGUCUCUUUCUUUUGGAGGUUCCAGGGAGCUAUUACCGGGGUCCAAACUUAUGUGUGGAAGUGGUUUCUGGGGAUGGUUGUCAAAAAAUGAAGGGGAUGAUGGAGAGGGAUUAGUUUGAGUUUGGGCCUCUGGAUAAGCGUCGUGGUUAGUUUCUAUGUUGCUGUUGUUGCACGCGGAGGAUGUAAUUGAUGUAUUCACUGAAUAACCAGCCAAUCUUAGGUCAUUGUAAGCGGGGCCUUUUGAUGUUUUAGCAUUUUAACGUAAUCGUAAUCUGUAGAUGAGAUUUUCACCGUGAAAUAAAUACUAGAGCUAGAGUUUGUUCAUAUUAUAAUUUA
This is a long non-coding RNA of Papaver somniferum (opium poppy), 1698 nucleotides long. RefSeq lists it as uncharacterized. Lineage: Eukaryota; Viridiplantae; Streptophyta; Magnoliopsida; Ranunculales; Papaveraceae. The transcript has 2 exons. The record is from RefSeq and is a predicted model, not a curated record.